This 340-nucleotide ribosomal RNA is filed under the name Herbaspirillum sp. RNAcentral describes it as "bacterial SSU rRNA". It matches the Rfam family "Bacterial small subunit ribosomal RNA", at positions 565 to 905 of the family's 1533-position model. Lineage: Bacteria; Pseudomonadati; Pseudomonadota; Betaproteobacteria; Burkholderiales; Oxalobacteraceae. The record is from RNAcentral.
GCGUGCGCAGGCGGUUGUGCAAGACAGAUGUGAAAUCCCCGGGCUCAACCUGGGAAUUGCAUUUGUGACUGCACGGCUAGAGUGUGUCAGAGGGGGGUAGAAUUCCACGUGUAGCAGUGAAAUGCGUAGAUAUGUGGAGGAAUACCGAUGGCGAAGGCAGCCCCCUGGGAUAACACUGACGCUCAUGCACGAAAGCGUGGGGAGCAAACAGGAUUAGAUACCCUGGUAGUCCACGCCCUAAACGAUGUCUACUAGUUGUCGGGUCUUAAUUGACUUGGUAACGCAGCUAACGCGUGAAGUAGACCGCCUGGGGAGUACGGUCGCAAGAUUAAAACUCAAA